GAUUUGCGCAAUUCCUGUUGCUUCUGGCUGUGGGAAAAUUGUUAUCAAUCAUGCACUUACCAAGGUGAUGAACUUAUUUGGUGAUGUUAAAGGGAAAGUAGCUAUAAUGGUGGACAACAUGAUCGACACAACAUGUGAGUUAUAAGUUUGUAUCUUUCAGUGUCCCUGCAUGUGAUCAUGUUUUAGCUUUUAUAUAUGUCUCAAGCUUGAUCCAAAUGUUUACUAAACUUAAUAUUUGAAUUUGUUUUUUUUUUUUUUUU
Camelina sativa (false flax) is the source of this 260-nucleotide non-coding RNA. Lineage: Eukaryota; Viridiplantae; Streptophyta; Magnoliopsida; Brassicales; Brassicaceae. The record is from RefSeq and is a predicted model, not a curated record.